Molecule: unclassified non-coding RNA, 354 nt
Filed under: soil metagenome
Description: partial contains 5.8S ribosomal RNA, internal transcribed spacer 2, and large subunit ribosomal RNA
Rfam family: 5.8S ribosomal RNA (bases 1-120)
Source: RNAcentral
GAUGAAGAACGUAGUGAAACGCGAUAUGUAAUGUGAAUUGCAGAAUUCAGUGAAUCAUCGAAUCUUUGAACGCACAUGGCGCCUUCCAGUAUCCUGGGAGGCAUGCCUGUCCGAGCGUCGUUUCAACCCUCGAGCCCCCGUGGCCCGGCGUUGGGGAUCUGCCCAGGCAGUCCCCGAAAACCAGUGGCGGACCCGUUACAGGCCCUUCCCUUGCGUAGUACCAUUCGCCUCGCAUCGGGAGCCGGCGGGCUUCCAGCCUCUAAACCCCCAUCAAGUCCGCCCCGGCGGCACCAAGGUUGACCUCGGAUCAGGUAGGAAUACCCGCUGAACUUAAGCAUAUCAAUAAGCGGAGGA